RNAcentral lists this long non-coding RNA (330 nucleotides) under Sorghum bicolor (sorghum). RNAcentral's name for it is "long non-coding RNA (SBIC_LNC005304)". The record is from RNAcentral. Lineage: Eukaryota; Viridiplantae; Streptophyta; Magnoliopsida; Poales; Poaceae.
GGGGAACUAAACUCUAAUAUAGACACAAUUGAGUGAUAGGUGGAGCAGUAGAGGAGGCUAUGCGAAAGGGCAAUGUCUCGGAUUCAAAUCCCAUCGGCCGCGUAGCGUAAGAUUUUUCACAAGACGGGCGGGCGAUUAGCCUUGGUCUUCCUUGGGAUUAAUUUUUUUUUCUAUUUUUAAAAUCCGACAUAUUUUCUAGAAAAAUGUUUCCUCUAGCGAUUGGCUAAGAGAACCGCCUAUAGAAAUUUAUUUUCUACCAGAGGUUGUCUUAGCAAACCGCAUGUGAAAAUAGAUUUCCACUAGUGCAAAGAUUUAUUUCUACUUACCUCU